AAGAAAGGCAACACCGCCACAGUGAUAAAGCAAAGAGAAAAAGCGUGGCAAAGUAUUGCAGACCGCCUGAAUGCAUUAAACAUGAACGGGCCAAAACGGACAUGGCAGCAGGUCAAAAUCAAAUACAAGAACAUUCUGCAGAAUGCAGUGAAAAAGAAUACCCACAGACAAGGCACGGGUGGUGGGUCACCAAAGGCUGACCUUACCCCAGCAGAGGACAUGGCCUUGGAGCUAAAUAAAGGCAGGCCCGUCUUAGAGGGGAUCCCUGGGGGGAAAGAGACGAGCAUAGGUUCCUCCCAAGAUGCCACCCGCUUCAUUCAAGUGUCUGGCAGCACUGUGUUCCUGUUAGAGCCACCAGCACAAGCACCAGACGAUGCUGAUCCAGUGAGUACUCCAUCAAAGGCAUACUGUAGGCCUGGCAUGUCUUGUCUACUAGCUUCAAUAUGAAUCCGAUUAAAUGUGAUAGGGUGAAGGCCCCAGUGCAGCAGCAACAGCACAUGAUGGAGACGAUGAUGAGGAGGAGACCAUCUCUCUGGAUUCCAGAAGGCAUGAGGUAUCAUGUUAAGACUGUGAAAGUACUAUUUACUCUACAAUGGUGAGGAGUCCUCAUCAAAAUCAAAAAAUCUAAUUUCUUUUACAGGACCCAGAUGCUAUACAGUGGGAAAACCAGCCUGGCAACAUAAGCUCACAAGCUAUCAGAAAGUUGUAUGGCAACCACCUCCGGCGCCAAAUAGAACUGGCAGACAUAGACAUUCAGUACAAGAAGAAAAAGAUGGAAAAUCUUGCACUGGAGUUCGAAAUAAAAAAGAGGACAAUUAGGAAACUGGACCUUGAAAUAAAAAAACUUGAGAGGGAGGUGAGAUAUGCCUUCAAU
Oncorhynchus tshawytscha (Chinook salmon) is the source of this 874-nucleotide long non-coding RNA. Lineage: Eukaryota; Metazoa; Chordata; Actinopteri; Salmoniformes; Salmonidae. The record is from Ensembl.